Molecule: transfer RNA, 87 nt
Filed under: Halanaerobiales bacterium
Lineage: Bacteria; Bacillati; Bacillota; Clostridia; Halanaerobiales
Description: tRNA-Leu
Rfam family: tRNA
About the family: Transfer RNA (tRNA) molecules are approximately 80 nucleotides in length.
Source: RNAcentral
GCCGAAGUGGCGGAAUUGGCAGACGCGCCGGAUUCAAAAUCCGGUGGGGUUAGACUCGUAUGGGUUCGAGUCCCAUCUUCGGCACCA